GGGGUUGUGGCUCAGUGGUAGAGUGUUUGCCUCACAUGCAUGAGGCCCUGAGUUCGAUCCCCUGCACCA
RNAcentral lists this transfer RNA (69 nucleotides) under Ictidomys tridecemlineatus (thirteen-lined ground squirrel). RNAcentral describes it as "Spermophilus tridecemlineatus (thirteen-lined ground squirrel) tRNA". It matches the Rfam family "tRNA". Rfam says of the family: Transfer RNA (tRNA) molecules are approximately 80 nucleotides in length. Their secondary structure includes four short double-helical elements and three loops (D, anti-codon, and T loops). Lineage: Eukaryota; Metazoa; Chordata; Mammalia; Rodentia; Sciuridae. The record is from Rfam by way of RNAcentral.